This 1402-nucleotide long non-coding RNA is filed under the name Heterocephalus glaber (naked mole-rat). RNAcentral describes it as "lncRNA (ENSHGLG00000029028.2)". Lineage: Eukaryota; Metazoa; Chordata; Mammalia; Rodentia; Bathyergidae. The record is from RNAcentral.
CUCUUUUUCUUCUCUUUCCUCUGAGCCCUUCUCCCUCGCCUCCUUCCUUUCUUCUUCCAGGGUUAAAAAUAAUCAACUUUCUGGGAAGCAGCAGCUCCCGCCGAGCAGCCCUGGGGUCCCCGGACGCCUCCCUCCCCGCAGGUAGGGCCGUCCGUAUGUCCGCGGAGGGAAACUGAGGGCUGGGUGAGGUGAUUCAGGCCAGGACGGCUCCGGGCUCCCGCCACAGACACGCGGGGCAUCCUCGGCUCGGGUUGGGGGUUCGGCCCGGCCGCAAUGGGGGCGGAGCGGGGAGCGCCGAAGUCAAAGGUGAACGGCUGAACUCGGCUGGCGCAGCGGCCCCGCUCACUCGGCGCGCCCCGACAUUACCUCAUCGCUGCGCGCGCCCAUUGGCUGCUUACCUCUUCGCCCCACGCGCCCAUUGGCUGCUUCCCACGGAGGCCGGCCCAAUGCGGCGGGAGCGUUAACCCCUUCCGUGACGAGCCCUGCGCUGCUCCUGCAGCCUCGGCUGCCUUCACGUGGCUUCGGGCGCCCGAGGCCCACGGGGGUGGGCGGGGUGCGCGGGGCGGGGCAGGCAGGCGGUCGGAGCCUCCACCGGUUAGCCCCUAGGUCGCAUCGCCCCGGUGUGGGCCCCCUGCUCCUCCGGGCUGUGUGACCUUGGGCAACCGUGCCACCUCGCUGAGCCCGGCGUGUUUGCUCAGCUGUAAACAGCAGCGGAUGAUGUCACUCGUGGCCUCCCUGAUUCCUCGGCGCCUGCCAAGCGUCGGGUGCACGUGGGCUCCGCGCUGCACAUUUUGCCUCCGCGCUGCAAGAGGUGCGGUUAUUAUUAUGAGAUUGCGGGGGGGGGAGAAAACCAGCUCAGAGCUGCAGAGCGGCUUCCCAAGGACGCACAGCGAGAGUCCCAGAGCUGGGACCCCGAGCCCGAGCAAGCCCACAGCGCCCACGGAGGGGCCCACUUCCUGCUGCAGGGACACGAUCGAUGCCUGGCCGGCCAGACCACGGCACAGGCUGCUGUAAUCACAUAAAACCAGUGCCAAGCUGAGAGCCACCCAGGGCCUCCAGAGAGGCUUCGGUCCGGCUUUGAGGGAGGCAGAGGUCCCUCAGACAAAGGCGGGGACGGUGGCGCCCUGGGGGUGCAAAGUGGGGCGGGAAGCAGCAGGGCCCCCUGUGAUUCACCUUCUGGCUGGGGCUCAGCUAACAAACUGCUGAAUAAAACACGCUCUGUCCUCCUUCCUUGACAAAUACGCUGUCGCCAUAAGGACACCGAGACCUGGGAGCCUGGGUUCGAAUUUAGAAGUCUCAGCCAGAGUUCCCACCCAGCCCCUCUUCCCUUUCUGCUCCGGGGCAGGGCUGCGUGUGCCUGGGUACAGACACCCCCUAGCCCCCACCCUAAGCCUUGGGUGGC